Molecule: RNA transcript, 2209 nt
Organism: Daktulosphaira vitifoliae (grape phylloxera)
Lineage: Eukaryota; Metazoa; Arthropoda; Insecta; Hemiptera; Phylloxeridae
Gene name: solute carrier family 49 member 4-like
Exons: 13
Source: RefSeq, a predicted model, not a curated record
UUUAAGUUUUUAGCUUAAUGUUCUACUGUAUUUUUAACAAAAACAAAAAGUUUACCCGUAAAUAUGUCCACUAGCACUACUAUUGAAAUUAGUGAGCGUCAUUUGAAUACUGUGUACCUGAAUGGAUUAGAUUUUUUACAGGUUCAGAACACUACAACAGAUUCUGAAUUUCAAGAUGACAAGAUGGAACUGGUACCACUUACUCCACAAUACUCUGAGACUUCAUUAUACAGUUUUAACGAUGACAUCUUAGAAUCAUCAUUACCACACUUAAAUCCAACAAAAAUUCGAUAUGCUGUUAUAAUCAUUAGUUCUAUUGUAUUUUUUUUUCAAACAUUUUCUCAGUCAGUUUGGAAUCCUAUAUUUGAACAAACUUUAGAAGCUUUCCCUUAUUGGACUUCGAAAUCUCUGGCUUUAUUACCAAUAUGGGGUAGCGUUAUGAGUGUAAUUUUGGUGUUUCCAGCUUGUAUGGUAAUCAACAAAUAUGGACUUAAAAAUAGUUUGCUAUGGUCUUGUUCUAUUUUUACAAUAGGUACAUUGGUGCGGUGUUUACCAAUCAUGUAUUACUCACCAGCGUAUUUACAUUUGUCUGCAGCUUUUUUAUCCGCCGGAAGCGUUUUUAUGAGUCCUUUAAUGAUUACUAUUUCUACUCAAUGGUUUCCUAAGAAUGAAAGAAAUAUGGCCAUUGCUGUUGGUUCGGCUGGUGGAAUGCUUGGAUCAGCGGCCACUUAUAUUAUUGGACCAACUUUUGUACUUACAGACGGACCACCUAACCCAGAAUUAAUUAGAAAUAAAAUUAUGAUGAUGUUAUAUGCAUGUAGUGCUACGUGUAUAAGUUCCACGACAAUGGUUUUUCUUUUCUUCCCCAAACAUGUUCAACCAGUGAGUUAUACCUCAAAAAUCUCGAUGCUAUCACAUAGGUCUGGUGAUCUGAUAAAUUCAUUUAAAGAACUAAUAAUACAUCGUCAAAUGUGGUACGUUUUGAUGGCUUUUGCUCUUUCUUAUUCUAUUUCAUCACCUUGGUCAGCCAUAAUACCAGCUACAUUUUCCAAAUUGCAUGUUCCUCGAGAAUUAAGUGUGCAAUGUGGUUUAUAUUUAAUUCUUCAUAAUUUUUUGCUGAGUUUGUCCAUGAGUGCAUUUGCUGACAAAUUUCCGGGGUAUAGCAAAGAAAUUGUCUUGUGUAGUCGUUUGGUAUCAUUAGCGUCACUUUUUUGGCUUAUGGUCAUGAUGAAUUUUCGUGAUCAUGGGAAAUUAUCAUCAACAAUAUUGGUUUGUGUUAUUUUAGUUGCAUUUCCAUACUCAUGGUGUAACUCUAGCCUUUUAUAUGAAAUGGGUACUAAUUUGAUGUUUCCCAUGGCAGAAAGUUAUGUUGGCGGUUACAUGACAUUGAUGAAUAAUUUUUUUGUUGAUUGUGUUUAUUUAUUACUCUAUGCUUUUCCUAAAUUCGAUGAAUAUUGGAUACAUUUUGGAGUUUUUUUUUGUUCAUUAUUAAGCAUAAUAUUUUUACUACUGACACCUAAUAUAACAAAAGAAACUUAUUUGUGUAAAAGCACAUGACGAUUUAAAGAAGAUUACACGUAAAUUAUACAAUUGUUUCGAUAACUAUAAAUUGUUAAAUAAUCAAAUCGAAGAUAUGGAUUUUCACAAGAAAUUUACUCCCAAUUUUGAAAAUUUAUUAUUAGACUGGAACACGUUGAUUCAAAAGAGUGAUCAAAACGAUCUAUUAACCAUUGUAUUUAAUAUAGCUGAUCAUGUUUGUUUUACAUUAGUAGGCGAUGAUAUUGCAAAUAAGACACAUUUUGAAAGAUGUAUGGAAUCAGCGAAGAUGUGUUGUAAUAUAUAUGCUAAAAAUGUUUAUGCUUUGGGAAUAAUUGAUGAAUCGAGAGAAGUGAUUAUAAUACAACAAAAUCCUUAUGAACACUUAGUUGAAGCAAGGAGUGAAAAAAAAAAAGUUUUACCAACGUUACUUCAAGAUGAUGGCAUGAUUAUUGAAACCGAUUGCCAACCGACAGAAGGUGCUCAAAUAGUUGUAUUGUCCAAAGAUACCGAAGAUGUAGAUUUCAUUAAGAUGAAUGUUUAUUUUUAAGUUGUGAAAUUCAUAAUGGAGGACUGAUUUGUUUUUAUUGUAAUUUAACUAAUUAAAAAUAUUUAAUUUGUAAAAAUUAUAUAAGGCAUUGAAUAAUAAUAAAAAUUUCUGUUGUUUACAAUA